RNAcentral lists this non-coding RNA (46 nucleotides) under Schistosoma margrebowiei. Lineage: Eukaryota; Metazoa; Platyhelminthes; Trematoda; Strigeidida; Schistosomatidae. The record is from RNAcentral.
AUACUGCUUAGGAGUCCCACAACAGGACGAAACGGCCGUCCAGUGC